CAGAACACAAUUUCCAAGCACUAGAAUGAGCAAAAGCUACGUUUUAUUAGAAUGCACUCUUUCCAGAAGGAUUUAUUGGCCUUGCUUUUUUCAGGAACACUUAAUGAGAGGGAGGAAAGCAGGUGGGUAGCACAGAAACUAGAUGGCACAGGUAGGCGGCUUGCUGACUUUCUCUGGUUAUUCUCAAAGGCAAUCAUUUCACAGCUGUCAGAGUUACAGUGUUUGGGAGCUGCCCCAUGUUCCCACAUGCUAAGAACUCAAGGAGCAGCCCAGUGAGCACAGCUGCAACUCUCUGCCAUCAUUCAGAAGUAAACAUCCUUCAGAAGGAACUGUACUCGCUUUUUCUAGAUGCAAACAACUCACCAAAGAAUCUGAAGGUGGUAACAAGAUGCUACCUGAUAGAUUCUGCCUGCUACUGCCUGUGGUUCCCUUUUAGGGGCUUUUAGAAAUCCAGGCAACACCUCCAGUUAGGAGCCAUAAGGCACAUCGCUGGGAUCUGACUUGUAGAACAAUGUGUGUGAACCAGAAGACAUUUCUUCAGCUGAGCUCCCUGGGAACCAUGACCAUCUCAAUUUUGCAGCUUGCUGUGCUCAGUCACAAACAUCGCCGCAAUACCAUCCUUCCUUCAUUUGAGAGGCCCACACACAAAUAUCAAAGUGAGCUAAUGUGCGGGGGAGGAAUAUUUCUCCCUAAUUUUCCAAAGUGGUUUUCAGGGAUUCUCACACACGCAUAUCCUCGCAGUGGGAAUGAAGUGUACAACACCCUUUAACGUUAGAGUUUUAAGGCCUCCUUUAGCUGAACAUCAGCUAAUUAUUGUGGAAUCCGUGCAAAUGGCAUCUCAAAUACCUCUCUCAUACUCGUUAAUUUUCUGUACUCACUAAGACAUUCACUAUUCAUACAGAUGAUGAAUGCCCUGCCUAGGCUAUGCUAAUAACACUUCCCUUAGUAUCUGCGAAUGGGCCCAUAAAAAGGGGCAGGUUUCUAUUCAACCAAGUCGGGGACCAGAGGAUGCUUUCGGGUCCUUGUGCCCCCUCCACUUCCCCACAGCACACCUUUAAGCUAUUCCUCCCACACUAUUAAUCUCCCAGGCUUUGGUGUGACUAAUUGCAAAUGGCAGGAGAGAUUGGGCUUAAUAAGCAGGAGUGUUGGAACAUUUCCUUCCAAAGUGCCCUCCUUUGUUCAAAGUGUGUCACCCUGUCAGGAGAAGCACUUUUUCACAUGGCAUCAAGAAGAACAAAAAUAAGGUCGGGUCGUCACCUUUGUCGUGGACGAAAAUUAGCAUGCAAGAGGAAAUGCAGAGGCAGCCGCCGUGGGAGCUAGGUGAGGUGGGCGGUGGGUGAGCCAUCACACCCCUGCCAUUCCCUCCCAGCCCAGGGCAAGAAAGCAGGCUUCCAGAUGAAGCCCCAGUGGAAAAUCUGCCUCUCUUCCAGCAGAUUUCAAGCUCACUGUUUCCUUUCCCUUUGUCUCUGUGCCCUUUCCCCACCACUGGAGUAUCCAACGUUUUCCAUAUAGAAUAACUAACAAUAAUGUGGUUCCCGGUGGACUUCACAAGCUGACUGCAAUUUAUUCAUUUUCUGAGCUAAAUUUUGCCUUGGACAGGGGUGAGCUGCCUGCAUGUACAGACAGCCAGACCUAGUGACACUAUCCCAUCUUCCAGUCCCCUCCUAGUGCUUGAUAUCUAUUACCAGAGGAGGAUUUAAUCAACAAUCCUCUAAUAGCUUCUUUUAAUUAAUAGUCAGCUGGAUAGAAGCUGGAUUGGCCAGACAGGA
Long non-coding RNA from Numida meleagris (helmeted guineafowl), 1769 nucleotides. The record is from Ensembl. NCBI's taxonomy places the organism in Eukaryota, Metazoa, Chordata, Aves, Galliformes, Numididae.